Molecule: long non-coding RNA, 513 nt
Organism: Helianthus annuus (common sunflower)
Lineage: Eukaryota; Viridiplantae; Streptophyta; Magnoliopsida; Asterales; Asteraceae
Exons: 4
Source: RefSeq, a predicted model, not a curated record
GUAGACGGCGACGAACUGAAGAAGAAACAAGAAUCUUAUGUUUCUAUUCCUUCGGUUAAGCUCGAUUUUAUAAUCUAAAUGCAUUCAAAAGGUGUUUAUGAAGAAUUGUGGAAAAGAUCAUGCUUGAUCUCCAGAUCAUAUUCAAAGGUGAACGCAGCAGCUACAUAGAUUGUUGAAUGAACCAACCCUACAUUAUAUAACCCAUAUUAAAAGUGAACCGGCGGCUUGGCGGAGUAGACCACGAUUCGUAGAAGAGAGCCGUUUUGUCCACCUAUAAGAAGCAGCCAAUGUGGGAUAGCAGUGAAGAACCAGAAUCGCUAAAGCGUUCCUUUUGUUCAGACCAUCCUUCAAAAGGUGUAGAUAACCAGCUCGAUGUAUUAGCCAGGGAAACUUGAAACUAAGUGUCAACUGUAGACUAACGACAACAAGGUGUAUGCCUAGGCAUACCUGAUUUUGUUCACUACAUAUACAAAAUGUAGCAUGAUAAAUUUAUGACAAGUCGCUAUUAACAUA